AAAUUGAAGAGUUUGAUCAUGGCUCAGAUUGAACGCUGGCGGCAGGCCUAACACAUGCAAGUCGAACGGUAACAGGAAUCAGCUUGCUGAUUCGCUGACGAGUGGCGGACGGGUGAGUAAUGUCUGGGAAACUGCCUGAUGGAGGGGGAUAACUACUGGAAACGGUAGCUAAUACCGCAUAAUGUCGCAAGACCAAAGAGGGGGACCUUCGGGCCUCUUGCCAUCGGAUGUGCCCAGAUGGGAUUAGCUAGUAGGUGGGGUAACGGCUCACCUAGGCGACGAUCCCUAGCUGGUCUGAGAGGAUGACCAGCCACACUGGAACUGAGACACGGUCCAGACUCCUACGGGAGGCAGCAGUGGGGAAUAUUGCACAAUGGGCGCAAGCCUGAUGCAGCCAUGCCGCGUGUAUGAAGAAGGCCUUCGGGUUGUAAAGUACUUUCAGCGGGGAGGAAGGGAGUAAAGUUAAUACCUUUGCUCAUUGACGUUACCCGCAGAAGAAGCACCGGCUAACUCCGUGCCAGCAGCCGCGGUAAUACGGAGGGUGCAAGCGUUAAUCGGAAUUACUGGGCGUAAAGCGCACGCAGGCGGUUUGUUAAGUCAGAUGUGAAAUCCCCGGCUCAACACGAACUGCAUCUGAUACUGGCAAGCUUGAGUCUCGUAGAGGGGUAGAAUUCCGGUGUAGCGGUGAAAUGCGUAGAGAUCUGGAGGAAUACCGGUGGCGAAGGCGGCCCCCUGGACGAAGACUGACGCUCAGGUGCGAAAGCGUGGGGAGCAAACAGGAUUAGAUACCCUGGUAGUCCACGCCGUAAACGAUGUCGACUUGGAGGUUGUGCCCUUGAGGCGUGGCUUCCGGAGCUAACGCGUUAAGUCGACCGCCUGGGGAGUACGGCCGCAAGGUUAAAACUCAAAUGAAUUGACGGGGGCCCGCACAAGCGGUGGAGCAUGUGGUUUAAUUCGAUGCAACGCGAAGAACCUUACCUGGUCUUGACAUCCACGGAAGUUUUCAGAGAUGAGAAUGUGCCUUCGGGAACCGUGAGACAGGUGCUGCAUGGCUGUCGUCAGCUCGUGUUGUGAAAUGUUGGGUUAAGUCCCGCAACGAGCGCAACCCUUAUCCUUUGUUGCCAGCGGUCCGGCCGGGAACUCAAAGGAGACUGCCAGUGAUAAACUGGAGGAAGGUGGGGAUGACGUCAAGUCAUCAUGGCCCUUACGACCGUGGCUACACACGUGCUACAAUGGCGCAUACAAAGAGAAGCGACCUCGCGAGAGCAAGCGGACCUCAUAAAGUGCGUCGUAGUCCGGAUUGGAGUCUGCAACUCGACUCCAUGAAGUCGGAAUCGCUAGUAAUCGUGGAUCAGAAUGCCACGGUGAAUACGUUCCCGGGCCUUGUACACACCGCCCGUCACACCAUGGGAGUGGGUUGCAAAAGAAGUAGGUAGCUUAACCUUCGGGAGGGCGCUUACCACUUUGUGAUUCAUGACUGGGGUGAAGUCGUAACAAGGUAACCGUAGGGGAACCUGCGGUUGGAUCACCUCCUUACCUUAAAGAA
This 1546-nucleotide ribosomal RNA is filed under the name Escherichia fergusonii. RNAcentral's name for it is "bacterial SSU rRNA". It matches the Rfam family "Bacterial small subunit ribosomal RNA". The record is from RNAcentral. Lineage: Bacteria; Pseudomonadati; Pseudomonadota; Gammaproteobacteria; Enterobacterales; Enterobacteriaceae.